RNAcentral lists this ribosomal RNA (253 nucleotides) under uncultured bacterium. RNAcentral describes it as "partial 16S ribosomal RNA". It matches the Rfam family "Bacterial small subunit ribosomal RNA", at positions 524 to 776 of the family's 1533-position model. The record is from RNAcentral.
UACGGAGGAUCCAAGCGUUAUCCGGAUUUAUUGGGUUUAAAGGGUGCGUAGGCGGAUUAAUAAGUCAGUGGUGAAAGCCUGCAGCUUAACUGUAGAAUUGCCAUUGAUACUGUUAAUCUUGAAUUCAGUUGAGGUAGGCGGAAUGUGUCAUGUAGCGGUGAAAUGCUUAGAUAUGACACAGAACACGGAUUGCGAAGGCAGCUUGCUAAACUGAUAUUGACGCUGAGGCACGAAAGCGUGGGGAGCGAACAGG